RNAcentral lists this long non-coding RNA (3908 nucleotides) under Oreochromis niloticus (Nile tilapia). RNAcentral's name for it is "lncRNA (ENSONIG00000037089.1)". Lineage: Eukaryota; Metazoa; Chordata; Actinopteri; Cichliformes; Cichlidae. The record is from RNAcentral.
AUGGAUAACAUUGCUCCUUUUUGUGGCAAUUACUGCCACAGUUUAUCGUCACGAUGUCGCUCCGUGCUGCGCAGUCUCUUAGUCCUGAUGGCAGCGCUUCUUAGCACAGAUGUAAGCGCUCCUUCAGUUCCUGGCUGGGUAACGGCUGAGCGAUGCAGCAAUUACAUUUUUGUUGAAAAGGUACUUCGAGUAAAUAAGACGGGAGUAAGAGCUGAAAAUGUCUGCCCGCUUCUGUUGAGUCGAUUUCAUGAACUUAAAUCACAGAGAACCUCUCUCUUUGCUCAUAUAACAAAGUUAACUAAGUUAAUGCAGCUCAGUCAUCGAUAUAUCAAUAUCUCUCACUCCUUCUCUCUCGUUUGUCACUAGAAUCAAUCGAAUAAGGCGAUAUUUUUUAAAUUACACUUUGGAUUUCAGUGUUUGAGUGAACGGACACCUGAUGGUCUUCCAUCGAAAAGAUAAAAGCGAGAGCUCUCUUUCACACAUACGCACCUGCUUGUAAAUAUACGGUCACGUGACAUAUGUGCUUCGCACAAGAGCAUCUGACUGCAGCCACUGGGGAACGCCACCUGUGUAAUUGUGUAACUUUAUUAGGAGCGUCCUCCUGAAAUGCGCCCACAACAUUGAGAGUAACAUCCUCCUCUCUGCUUCUUGAUGCUCUCUGGUCGCCAUGGUAAUGCGUAAAUAGUUCUUUCAAAAUAAGACACACGACUACAACACGGGAAAAGACUCAGGGAAACCAACUUAUCGAUAAAAACCCUGAAAACCAUACAUUUCACACCCGAGCCUCAACUCUCGCGGCCCGGUACCAAACGACUCAGCGCCGCGCGCUCCCGCGGACGGCAAUGAGUUUCUGGCAGACAAUCACUUUUUGGCACAACACCGGCAAAGUUAUGUGACAUUAGCGAUGUUUGUACUUUCAGCGUUUACUUUGUUUUAAAGCCUUUACUUUAUACGCCGUUCGAUAGUUGACCUUAAUCUCACAGAGAAUGUGAUGAUUUUAAGGAUAAUUAAAGUCAGUCAUAUAUCCACAAACACAACAAGCUGAAAGUCAGUGAUGCUGCUCGGUUUGCAGUCCUGAAUAUGACGGCACAAGCAGGAUUCACUGCACUGUUAAUGUUAGCUAUGUUAUAUUGCUGCCUCUGUUCGGUGGUGUCGAGCCAAACGGACUUUAACGUGUGUUUGAACGAGCUGACGGUUCAGUCGUUAAGCUGAAAGAAAGACGCUUUAAUCACAGGAGUCACACAUGUGUCCACUGUACCAUCUGGGAACUCUUCUUGUUUAGCACUCGUAAUAACACAAACACUAAAUCCUCCUUCUCUUGUGCUGUUUUGUAGCAGUGUAUACACCUGAGACUGUCACCUGUCUGCCUGUCCUGCACUCUCUCUCUGUUUCUUUCUCUCUGAUUGUGGAAUAAAAGUAUGAACAUGUAUUUAUAAGUUACACUUGUGUUUGAAUCCUGCAGCUUAUCACACAUUUGAUUUCCAUGUGUGACAACUGCAAGUGUCCAGAGUGAGGACAGACUGAGGGACCCACUGCUGCACAUCAUCUGUGAGGCUUUGCACCCCUGAUGAUCCACCAGGACAAACUCAGCAGUGUGUGAGGAAGAGGAGGAGGAAAAGCCAGCAGCAGCUGACAGAUGGAGAGAAUAGACAGACUGUUCCCUGUUUGUGAAGGACUGCUAGAAAGGUUUAACAUAACUAAUGUCUGUCCUGAAUCAGUCUUAUUAGGUAAUGUUCAAAUAAUUUGAUCAUUCCAGUGUUUUCAGUGUGGGAGAAAGUACUCAGGGCCUUCAAGUUACACACUAUGAAAGGCAGCAACAAGUUUAAUGUUCAGAAACCUAAAGUGUGAGAAUGGAGCUAAAAGUAAAUGUUUGUUUCAGUUCUAUGAAGCUUUGAGUAUUUUGGAUUUGUUGUGUUUGUGGCAUCAUAUUGCUGUAAUUGUUUAUAUGCUUUAUAUAUUCUGAGGUAAGUUGAUCCAUAGUGUUACAUCAUAUUCUAUAAGGAUGUUAUGUGUUUGUAUUCUUUCUGCCCAGUUUGACCCAUCUAGCAGAAGUCAGCCUGUUUAAGGCUCUGAUAUCUAUUCUGUAUGACUUAAAGCAGUUAUGAUAUGGUCUGAUUUUCUCACCCAAUAAAGGAAUAUUUAAUAUAUCAGUCUACUCUUCAUUCUAUCAGAAACAGUUAUCACAGCUCGUAUAUUUUCUUUUUACACAUAUAAGCAUUGAGCCAAAUUUAGUAAUGCCAACAUAUUGAAAGAACAAUGUUUGUCUCUUAUAUAUCAUACAUCUAUAUAUACACUGUCAGAGAUACUUGUCUUUGAGUGAAGAUUUAAGGUGAUAGGAAAUAUAAAUAACUGCUACUUGAAUCUUUACUGAAGCUCAGUAUUUGACACGGAGUUCAAACUCACUGCUGUGAGAUGACUUUAGUCUCAUGAACAACAUUAGCUAAUUGUUAUUUACUAGCUAAUCUUAAAAUGACUGUUCAGUACAGAAAUGAAGCCCAACAAUCAUGUUUUACAGUCCUGUGGUCUCAGCCUCAGAUACUUAUCAAAUCACACAAAGCUCGUGUAGAAACAAAUGAACAAAAUAUGUUCUCCUUCAUUUCUGUCAAAGAAAGCUGUAUGACAUGUUUCCGUUUUUCCUUUUUGCAGCGUUUUUCUUUUUGCAGGUGUUUUUCUUUUUGCAGCGUUUUUCUUUUUGCAAGUGUUUUCUGAAGUUGCAGUCCGUUUGCCUCUCAGGGCCACCGUAGUAUAUAGCAUUUGUAUUCUAUUUUAUUCUAUUGGGUAGAUUAUUCUAUUUUAUUCUAUUGUAUAGUAUUUUUAUUUUAUUUUAUUGCAUUCCAGUGUUUUCUAAUUUCUGUCAUAGCUGUGUGCAGGCAGGAAGAGAGGAAGGACCCAAAAUGCAGGACUCGCGGAAACGAAAGUGAAAUCAGAAUAACCAGCUUUAUUGCAGGGGUGACUGGAACAGAAAACUAACUAUACUGGAAAAUAACAAAACUGGCAGACAGGCAAACAGAACACACAGGGAGUUAAGAGGGUGAACAGACGUUAACGACGCGACACUGAGUAGGGGAAGACACGGACACUAAAUACAAGAGGUGAACGGAGCGAAGAGGAAACAGCUGGGAGACACGGCUGACGCUGAUUACACUGACGAGACAGGGAGAGCACAAAGCUGAACGCACUGACAUAGGACCCCGACCUACAAAAUAAAACAGGAAGCACACGACAGACAGAGACACAGACGCAGACUCAUAAGCAGGCAUAAUGACAUCAUGGACAGACAGGGGGGACAUGGAAGGAGGGACCAGGACAGGCACAGAACAGAAACCUAACAAAAUGGCGAAUAAUAAUGAAAUACCUAAUCAGAAUAACAAAAGCAUAAAGAAACACAAAACACUGAGUCAGCAGGCUCAGGACCAUGACAAUUUCUGCUACAUGACUUUGCACUUUUGCUGUAACGAAACAAAUUUCCCACCUGUGGGACUAAUAAAGGUCAUCUUAUCUUAUCUUAUCUUAUGGCUCCCAUUUGCCUGUGGGAUGUAGCUGUCUUCUAUGCAAUGUUGCCUUCUGGUAGUUCGAAACCCUCAGUUCUAACUACCUUCCAUCUCUUAGUUAUCAUCCAACUACAUUUCUCAAGUCUGAACAACAUUUCGAUGUCAUUGCUGUAUAUCCUGGUGGUAUGGAUCAGGGAAUUGAUGCCUCGUUCACUCUUGGCCAUACAGCUUGAUGUCAUCCAUGUACAGGAGGUGGCUGACAACUGCUCCAUUCCGUAGUCGGUAUCCGCAACCAGUCUUGUCAAUGAUCUCACUGAGGGGUUCAGGUCUAUGCAGAAAAGCAGUGAGGACAGAGCAUCUCCUUGGUAGAUUCCACACUUGAUGGUGACUUGUGCUAUGGGCUUGAAGUUGGCCUCU